RNAcentral lists this ribosomal RNA (490 nucleotides) under uncultured bacterium. RNAcentral describes it as "partial 16S ribosomal RNA". It matches the Rfam family "Bacterial small subunit ribosomal RNA", at positions 30 to 507 of the family's 1533-position model. The record is from RNAcentral.
AUUGAACGCUGGCGGCAUGCCUUACACAUGCAAGUCGAACGGCAGCAUGAUCUAGCUUGCUAGAUUGAUGGCGAGUGGCGAACGGGUGAGUAAUACAUCGGAACGUGCCCUGUAGUGGGGGAUAACUAGUCGAAAGAUUAGCUAAUACCGCAUACGACCUGAGGGUGAAAGUGGGGGACCGCAAGGCCUCAUGCUAUAGGAGCGGCCGAUGUCUGAUUAGCUAGUUAGUGAGGUAAAGGCUCACCAAGGCGACGAUCAGUAGCUGGUCUGAGAGGACGAUCAGCCACACUGGGACUGAGACACGGCCCAGACUCCUACGGGAGGCAGCAGUGGGGAAUUUUGGACAAUGGGCGAAAGCCUGAUCCAGCAAUGCCGCGUGUGUGAAGAAGGCCUUCGGGUUGUAAAGCACUUUUGUCCGGAAAGAAAUGGCUCUGGUUAAUACCUGGGGUCGAUGACGGUACCGGAAGAAUAAGGACCGGCUAACUACGUG